UGGGGAAUAUUGGACAAUGGGCGCAAGCCUGAUCCAGCCAUGCCGCGUGUGUGAAGAAGGCCUUUUGGUUGUAAAGCACUUUAAGCGAGGAGGAGGCUACUUGGAUUAAUACUCUAGGAUAGUGGACGUUACUCGCAGAAUAAGCAGCGGCUAACUCUGUGCCAGCAGCCGCGGUAAUACAGAGGGUGCGAGCGUUAAUCGGAUUUACUGGGCGUAAAGCGUGCGUAGGCGGCUUCUUAAGUCGGAUGUGAAAUCCCUGAGCUUAACUUAGGAAUUGCAUUCGAUACUGGGAAGCUAGAGUAUGGGAGAGGAUGGUAGAAUUCCAGGUGUAGCGGUGAAAUGUGUAGAGAUCUGGAGGAAUACCGAUGGCGAAGGCAGCCAUCUGGCCUAAUACUGACGCUGAGGUACGAAAGCAUGGGGAGCAAACAGG
Molecule: ribosomal RNA, 430 nt
Filed under: Acidobacteriota bacterium
Lineage: Bacteria; Pseudomonadati; Acidobacteriota
Description: Acidobacteria bacterium partial 16S ribosomal RNA
Rfam family: Bacterial small subunit ribosomal RNA
Source: RNAcentral